This is a long non-coding RNA of Lycium barbarum (goji berry), 1095 nucleotides long. RefSeq lists it as uncharacterized. The record is from RefSeq and is a predicted model, not a curated record. The transcript is spliced from 2 exons. NCBI's taxonomy places the organism in Eukaryota, Viridiplantae, Streptophyta, Magnoliopsida, Solanales, Solanaceae.
UCUAUUUUACCCUCACUCAACCCAAGCGAAAUGCCCAUUACACCCUUGAUGCCCUAAGAUAUUCUAGGUUUUCAUUUUUUUGAGCCUCAUAGCCGCGCCCCUCUCUCUGCUAUGGCAGAAAAUAUUUUGUUUCCUUCUCCAUUUUUUGAUAAAGUUUGACCUCUACAUCGAAAAUCAGAUAUUGUAUGUACAUUACGAGUAAACCUCUGUGAAGAUAAAAAGGACGAUUCAGAGAUGGCUGACAAAAGGAUUCAAAUUUCUUUCCUCUUUUCUGCAAUAGAACCAAGCAAGGCAAAAGCUAUACAAUUUGAUUUCUCUUGUUUUUCGCCAUUUUCGGCAUCAAGACCUCUGUCCCCUUUUCCUUUCUCUUCAAUGUUGCUGCAAACCUACGCCAAUUAGUCCAUUUUGAAACCCCAAAUUAUGCCUAAAAUCCCGCCCAAAAAAUGUAGAAGAAGAACCCUAGCUCGCAGCUAUAAAUAUCACCCUUUGGCAUUCAUUUGAGUGGGUUGAACAACCGCUACAUCUCACUUUAAAUGAAAAACAGCCGCAUAUCACUCUAAACUAUUAUAUUUCACCUUUCUGUUUGAAACUUUUGGUUAAUCUAAGAGUGUUAGGGCUCGUCAUCUUUUGAGUGUGGAUCCGGGACCUAAAAGCUCUAGUUCACUGCACUCGAGAAAGAGUCUCGUAUUGAGACUCAAUAUGGCUGCCGCUAAGCCGAAGACCUGCAUUUACACCUUCUUUGCCCCUUUCACUCCCACUAUACCUCCAAGCAGAAUGAUGGGCGAUGAAGCCUCUGUCACUUAUUUACUUAUGUUCUAGUUUUGCCUUUAUUGGGUUCUGUGACAAACUUGUUUUUUUUUUUUAAUGUUUCUAGCUUGUUCUUGAUUCUCUUAAUAUAAUUAUAGGACCAGUGCUAGUAUUAACUUAAAAAGGGUAGUUGUUAUGUGGGAAAACCAGUAGCUUAUUUUUUUUUUCCUCUUUUCAUAUUGGUAGCCGAUCUUUAUAUAGAUAGUAACUUUUUUUUUAUCACUGGUGUAUUGCAAAGAAGCAAACAUGAUUUGGUUCUUGGACUGAUUACAAAUUGGUUUUCCAGAA